This 301-nucleotide ribosomal RNA is filed under the name uncultured bacterium. RNAcentral describes it as "partial 16S ribosomal RNA". It matches the Rfam family "Bacterial small subunit ribosomal RNA", at positions 509 to 807 of the family's 1533-position model. The record is from RNAcentral.
CAGCAGCCGCGGGAAAACGGAGGGUGCAAGCGUUAAUCGGAAUUACUGGGCGUAAAGCGCACGCAGGCGGUCUGACAAGUCAGAUGUGAAAUCCCCGGGCUUAACCUGGGAACUGCAUUUGAAACUGUCAGGCUGGAGUCUUGUAGAGGGGGGUGGAAUUCCAGGUGUAGCGGUGAAAUGCGUAGAGAUCUGGAGGAAUACCGGUGGCGAAGGCGGCCCCCUGGACAAAGACUGACGCUCAGGUGCGAAAGCGUGGGGAGCAAACAGGAUUAGAUACCCGUGUAGUCCCUGUCUCUUAUAC